AACGAAUGCUGGCGGCAUGCCUAACACAUGCAAGUCGAACGAGACCUUCGGGUCUAGUGGCGCACGGGUGCGUAACGCGUGGGAACCUGCCCUUAGGUUCGGAAUAACUCCCCGAAAGGGGUGCUAAUACCGGAUAAUGUCUUCGGACCAAAGAUUUAUCGCCUUUGGAUGGGCCCGCGUUGGAUUAGCUAGUUGGUAGGGUAAAAGCCUACCAAGGCGACGAUCCAUAGCUGGUCUGAGAGGAUGAUCAGCCACACUGGGACUGAGACACGGCCCAGACUCCUACGGGAGGCAGCAGUGGGGAAUAUUGGACAAUGGGCGAAAGCCUGAUCCAGCAAUGCCGCGUGAGUGAUGAAGGCCUUAGGGUUGUAAAGCUCUUUUACCCGGGAUGAUAAUGACAGUACCGGGAGAAUAAGCUCCAGCUAACUCCGUG
Molecule: ribosomal RNA, 433 nt
Filed under: uncultured bacterium
Lineage: Bacteria
Description: partial 16S ribosomal RNA
Rfam family: Bacterial small subunit ribosomal RNA
Source: RNAcentral